Molecule: non-coding RNA, 95 nt
Organism: Acanthosepion pharaonis
Lineage: Eukaryota; Metazoa; Mollusca; Cephalopoda; Sepiida; Sepiidae
Source: the annotation of a GenBank genome assembly
AAAAACAAGUUCCGAUUCGACCACCGAAGUUAAGCAACGUCCACUUAGGUCUGUACCUAGAUGGGUGACCGCUUGGGAAUACCAGGUGCUGUAAG